GGGGGUAUAGCUCAGCGGUGGAGCAUGUGAUUAUAGCAUGAGUGAGGUCCUGGGUUCAAUCCCUAGCACUUCCA
RNAcentral lists this transfer RNA (74 nucleotides) under Camelus bactrianus (Bactrian camel). It matches the Rfam family "tRNA". From Rfam's summary of the family: Transfer RNA (tRNA) molecules are approximately 80 nucleotides in length. Their secondary structure includes four short double-helical elements and three loops (D, anti-codon, and T loops). Further hydrogen bonds mediate the characteristic L-shaped molecular structure. tRNAs have two regions of fundamental functional importance: the anti-codon, which is responsible for specific mRNA codon recognition, and the 3' end, to which the tRNAs corresponding amino acid is attached (by aminoacyl-tRNA synthetases). tRNAs cope with the degeneracy of the genetic code in two manners: having more than one tRNA (with a specific anti-codon) for a particular amino acid; and 'wobble' base-pairing, i.e. permitting non-standard base-pairing at the 3rd anti-codon position. The record is from Rfam by way of RNAcentral. RNAcentral also lists the same sequence under 1 other name. Lineage: Eukaryota; Metazoa; Chordata; Mammalia; Artiodactyla; Camelidae.